ACCCAAUAGAUACCCCGGUAGUCCACGCUGUAAACUAUGGGUACUAGGUUUUGGGAGUGUCGACCCUCUCAGAAACCGCAAAGCUAAACGCGUUAAAGUACCUCGCCUGGGAAGUACGGUCGCAAGACUAAAACUCAAAGGAAUUGACGGGAGCCCGCACAAGCGGUGGAGCAUGUGGUUUAAUUCGUCAGUAAGCGAAGAACCUUACCAAGGCUUGACAUACUCGGAAUCUUUUGGAAACAAGAGAGUGCCUUCGGGAAUCGAGAUACAGGUGCUGCAUGGCUGUCGCCAGCUCGUGUCGUGAGAUGUUGGGUUAAGUCCCGCAACGAGCGCAACCCCUUUUGAAUGUUGGAUUUUCAUUCGAGACUGCCUGGGAUAACCAGGAGGAAGGUGGGGAUGACGUCAAGUCAGCAUGGCCCUCUGAUGCCUUGGGCGACACACGUGCUACAAUGGGGAGUACAAUGGGCCGCUUAACCGAAAGGUGAAGCUAAUCUCAUCAAAACUACCCUCAGUUCAGAUUGAGGUCUGCAACUCGACCUC
RNAcentral lists this ribosomal RNA (540 nucleotides) under uncultured bacterium. RNAcentral describes it as "bacterial SSU rRNA". It matches the Rfam family "Bacterial small subunit ribosomal RNA", at positions 771 to 1319 of the family's 1533-position model. The record is from RNAcentral.